Molecule: long non-coding RNA, 637 nt
Organism: Daucus carota subsp. sativus
Lineage: Eukaryota; Viridiplantae; Streptophyta; Magnoliopsida; Apiales; Apiaceae
Exons: 3
Source: RefSeq, a predicted model, not a curated record
UGAUUUAUCUACCUAAAAUUUUAUAAUUUUGUUGAUAGCUCGCCGAAUCCAGGCCCAAGACUCAAUCCAAGCCCAGACACAGGUAAAUACGUAUACGUAUAGGUGCAAAAGCUGUACAUUCAACACUAUUCAUUUCGCCUCUUCUCUGCGAAUCAAUUGGCGUGAACAUGGCAGCUUUGAAGAUAACUGGUGCUAUUGCUGCUUCAUUUGUAGUUGCAUUUACAUGCGACUAUUUCAUUGCUGACAGGAAAAUCUUUGGAGGCACCACGCCAGGCACUGUUUCUAAUAAAGAAUGGGCACAAGAGACUGACAAAAAGUUCCAGGCAUGGCCUAGGACUGCUGGUCCCCCCGUAGUCAUGAACCCAAUCAGUCGUCAGAACUUUAUUGUCAAAGGCAGCUCUGAAGAAUGAAGCUAAAUAUACUAGCAUGGAGUGCUGAUGGUUUUGAUUGCAAUACAUCUCUGCAACAGUAUAAAUUUUAACUUGUUAAGUAUCGGACAAUGAUGAUAUGGAUAAUAAGGUUUUUAGUAUACCAUUGUUGAAUUGAUUGUCAAUACUUUAGCCAGUAUGCCUAAUUUAGGGAUUCUAUGCUACAACUUAAAUUAAAUAAUUCUUUUUGUGAAAAAAAGUUUGCUCUA